AGUUCCGACCUGCACGAAUGGCGUAAUGAUGGCCAGGCUGUCUCCACCCGAGACUCAGUGAAAUUGAACUCGCUGUGAAGAUGCAGUGUACCCGCGGCAAGACGGAAAGACCCCGUGAACCUUUACUAUAGCUUGACACUGAACAUUGAGCCUUGAUGUGUAGGAUAGGUGGGAGGCUUUGAAGUGUGGACGCCAGUCUGCAUGGAGCCGACCUUGAAAUACCACCCUUUAAUGUUUGAUGUUCUAACGUUGACCCGUAAUCCGGGUUGCGGACAGUGUCUGGUGGGUAGUUUGACUGGGGCGGUCUCCUCCUAAAGAGUAACGGAGGAGCACGAAGGUUGGCUAAUCCUGGUCGGACAUCAGGAGGUUAGUGCAAUGGCAUAAGCCAGCUUGACUGCGAGCGUGACGGCGCGAGCAGGUGCGAAAGCAGGUCAUAGUGAUCCGGUGGUUCUGAAUGGAAGGGCCAUCGCUCAACGGAUAAAAGGUACUCCGGGGAUAACAGGCUGAUACCGCCCAAGAGUUCAUAUCGACGGCGGUGUUUGGCACCUCGAUGUCGGCUCAUCACAUCCUGGGGCUGAAGUAGGUCCCAAGGGUAUGGCUGUUCGCCAUUUAAAGUGGUACGCGAGCUGGGUUUAGAACGUCGUGAGACAGUUCGGUCCCUAUCUGCCGUGGGCGCUGGAGAACUGAGGGGGGCUGCUCCUAGUACGAGAGGACCGGAGUGGACGCAUCACUGGUGUUCGGGUUGUCAUGCCAAUGGCACUGCCCGGUAGCUAAAUGCGGAAGAGAUAAGUGCUGAAAGCAUCUAAGCACGAAACUUGCCCCGAGAUGAGUUCUCCCUGACUCCUUGAGAGUCCUGAAGGAACGUUGAAGACGACGACGUUGAUAGGCCGGGUGUGUAAGCGCAGCGAUGCGUUGAGCUAACCGGUACUAAUGAACCGUGAGG
RNAcentral lists this ribosomal RNA (943 nucleotides) under Escherichia coli. RNAcentral's name for it is "partial 23S ribosomal RNA". It matches the Rfam family "Bacterial large subunit ribosomal RNA", at positions 1979 to 2916 of the family's 2925-position model. Lineage: Bacteria; Pseudomonadati; Pseudomonadota; Gammaproteobacteria; Enterobacterales; Enterobacteriaceae. The record is from RNAcentral.